Molecule: ribosomal RNA, 414 nt
Filed under: uncultured microorganism
Description: bacterial SSU rRNA
Rfam family: Archaeal small subunit ribosomal RNA
Source: RNAcentral
CAGCCGCCGCGGUAAUACCGGCGGCCCGAGUGGCGGCCACUAUUAUUGGGCUUAAAGCGUCCGUAGCCGGGUUGGUUAGUCUCCCGGGAAAUCUGGCCGCUUAACGGUCAGAAUUCCGGGAGAUACUGCCAGCCUAGGGACCGGGAGAGGCCGAGGGUAUUCCCGGAGUAGGGGUGAAAUCCUAUAAUCCCGGGAGGACCACCUGUGGCGAAGGCGCUCGGCUGGAACGGGUCCGACGGUGAGGGACGAAGGCCAGGGGAGCAAACCGGAUUAGAUACCCGGGUAGUCCUGGCUGUAAACGAUGCGGACUUUGUGUCGGACAAGCUAAGGGCUUGUCCGGUGCCGCAGGGAAGCCGUUAAGUCCGCCGCCUGGGGAGUACGGCCGCAAGGCUGAAACUUAAAGGAAUUGGCGGG